RNAcentral lists this long non-coding RNA (982 nucleotides) under Homo sapiens (human). Its description in RNAcentral is "long intergenic non-protein coding RNA 1192". Lineage: Eukaryota; Metazoa; Chordata; Mammalia; Primates; Hominidae. The record is from RNAcentral.
GGGAAAGAGGUGGCAUCGGCGGUUCAAGACUGAGUUUUCUAUCUCUUCAGUGCCUCUUUCAACAAUGAAGAUCAAACCAGGUUUUGUGCAAAUAUCUGCUGAGUGAACUACUUAUUUGAAAAUACAUCAUUGGUUAAUAUUCCCUUUUGCUCAUUGAAAUCUCAAAGACUACAGACCCCGCACAAGACAUUCUGACAUUCCCGUCUUUGAAAUGAAUGACAGCAAUGAUAAAUAUGGCUCACCUCCAGAGAUACAGAUCUCACAACUUCAUAUUUUUAAUAUAAAUUAUUAAUCUGAGUUUCCAGAAGCAGAGAGAGAUAAGACCCAUGAUAAUCAAGCCAUAAACAGAUGCAUUUACUAGCUGAAUGGCCAACAAUGGAAUUCAACAAAUCCAUCUUGAGCACGGCAGCCAGGAGUGUGGUGCAAUUCCAUUAGAUGAAAGAGAUCUACACAUUCAGAAGCACAUGAUUCUUCCCCCUUCCAUGAUUCCAGUGGCCAAUAGACAAACUACAAUAAAGCCAUGCCCUGACUGGAUGUGCCUAACAUUUGUCUGGUGCUUAAAGGAGUUGGCUGCAUGCGUGGAAAUGUUGGAAAGUCACCAAAAAUAGUUCUCCAAGUCAGAAGCGGUGCAAAAGCUGCCUCAGCUCUUGGUGGAUUUUCAAUUUCUCCCAGCCAUCUCUGUUUCGCUAAAGGUUUCUGAAGACAGUGGGGGAAGCUUUUUUCUCCUCCCCAUCCUGAUCACUAGUAUGAGAAGGGGUGCUAAUGGACCAGCCUUGGCCUUGCAGAUGAAGAUGAUGAAGGAAGAAGGUAAAAGGAAACUGUGUACCUGUGUGACCUCUGGUAGUUCAGGUGCCCUAUCCUGCGGGCCACCUGUUAGCUUAAACUUUUGUAUAAUUGAGAAAAUGAGGGUUUUCUCUUAAUUAAGGCACUGUUGUUUGUUGUUUACUAAGGCAACCAAAUAAAUCACCUAGCUAAUAAAGAA